This 385-nucleotide ribosomal RNA is filed under the name uncultured bacterium. RNAcentral's name for it is "bacterial SSU rRNA". It matches the Rfam family "Bacterial small subunit ribosomal RNA", at positions 30 to 416 of the family's 1533-position model. The record is from RNAcentral.
AUUGAACGCUAGCGGGAUGCCUUACACAUGCAAGUCGAACGGCAGCGCGGACUUCGGUCUGGCGGCGAGUGGCGAACGGGUGAGUAAUGUAUCGGAACGUGCCCAGUAGCGGGGGACAACCACUCGAAAGAGUGGCUAAUACCGCAUACGCCCUACGGGGAAAGGGGGGGAUCGCAAGACCUCUCACUAUUGGAGCGGCCGAUAUCGGAUUAGCUAGUUGGUGGGGUAAAGGCUUACCAAGGCGACGAUCCGUAGCUGGUUUGAGAGGACGACCAGCCACACUGGGACUGAGACACGGCCCAGACUCCUACGGGAGGCAGCAGUGGGGAAUUUUGGACAAUGGGGGAAACCCUGAUCCAGCCAUUCCGCGUGUGCGAUGAAGGCC